UACGUAGGGGGCAAGCGUUGUCCGGAAUCAUUGGGCGUAAAGAGCGUGUAGGCGGCCCGAUUAGUCCGCUGUGAAAGUCCAGGGCUCAACCCUGGAAUGCCGGUGGAUACUAUCGGGCUAGAGUCCGGAAGGGGCGAGUGGAAUUCCUGGUGUAGCGGUGAAAUGCGCAGAUAUCAGGAGGAACACCAAUGGCGAAGGCAGCUCGCUGGGACGUGACUGACGCUGAGACGCGAAAGCGUGGGGAGCAAACAGG
This 253-nucleotide ribosomal RNA is filed under the name uncultured bacterium. RNAcentral describes it as "partial 16S ribosomal RNA". It matches the Rfam family "Bacterial small subunit ribosomal RNA", at positions 524 to 776 of the family's 1533-position model. The record is from RNAcentral.